UGAGUAACCUGCCCUUAACUCUGGGAUAAGCCUGGGAAACUGGGUCUAAUACCGGAUAUGACUCCUCAUCGCAUGGUGGGGGGUGGAAAGCUUUAUUGUGGUUUUGGAUGGACUCGCGGCCUAUCAGCUUGUUGGUGAGGUAAUGGCUCACCAAGGCGACGACGGGUAGCCGGCCUGAGAGGGUGACCGGCCACACUGGGACUGAGACACGGCCCAGACUCCGUACGGGAGGCAG
This 235-nucleotide ribosomal RNA is filed under the name uncultured bacterium. Its description in RNAcentral is "partial 16S ribosomal RNA". It matches the Rfam family "Bacterial small subunit ribosomal RNA", at positions 118 to 351 of the family's 1533-position model. The record is from RNAcentral.